GGUUUUGCAAAGAGAUGAUUCUAAACCGCCCUCCCCAUUCCGAACAGGGAAGUUAAGCCCUUUAGCGCCGAUGGUACUGCUACACCAAGUGGGAGAGUAGGUCGCCGCCUUC
RNAcentral lists this ribosomal RNA (112 nucleotides) under Croceitalea dokdonensis DOKDO 023. Lineage: Bacteria; Pseudomonadati; Bacteroidota; Flavobacteriia; Flavobacteriales; Flavobacteriaceae. The record is from RNAcentral.